Molecule: long non-coding RNA, 18692 nt
Organism: Orcinus orca (killer whale)
Lineage: Eukaryota; Metazoa; Chordata; Mammalia; Artiodactyla; Delphinidae
Exons: 10
Source: RefSeq, a predicted model, not a curated record
GUAGAAGCUUGCUCAUAUUGGAUCUCUUUGCCCUUGUGGUUCUUUCUGGAACAUUUUCCAGCCCCCAACCAUGCCUUAUGGCGUAUUUCUUUUAAAAAAUUCACCAAAAAUUCAUAAAAUAUUUUUAAAAAUCUGAAAUUUCUCCUAGUAUUUUCUUGACACCUCGCUAUUUUACAGAUAUUUGGGAUAUUUUUAGGCAGUUUUCAAUUUUAAAGGAAUUUUUCUUUGGAAUGAUUUUUGGUUGACUCCUCUGGUUUUUUGUGGUUUAGUCUUCUUUUUCUCCCCCUUUUCUAUAUUUUGCCCAUCGGGGCUGUGGAUACCUGGUUUUAAUAUUGUUAUUUUUUUGCCCAUCGGGGCCGCGGAUACCUGCUUUUAAUUUUUUUUUCCCUUAGCCCAUCGGGGCCUCGGAUACCUGCUGUGUACCCCCUCUCUCCCCAACCCUCUGGCCCAACGGGGCAAUGGAUACCUGCCUUUUUUUUUUUUUUUAAUUUAUUUUUUGGCCCAUCGGGGCCUUGGAUACCUGCUUUGAUUUUUCUUUUUUUCCUUUGCCCAUCGGGGCCUCGGAUACCUGCUUUAAUUUUUUUUUUCCUUGCCCAUCGGGGCCGCGGAUACCUGCUUAGAUUUUUUUUUUUCAUCGCCCAUCGGGGCUUUUUAUGGAUGGAAAAGUGUUGGGUUUUGUGGUUCGUUGUACUAUCUGGAAUGUCUACAAAAUGUUGCUGCUAAUCGUUUGGUGUUGUGUGAGUGGACCUACGGCUUUGGCUGGGAGAUGACUUUGCAGUUAGGCUAGGGGGUUGGUUAGGCUGGGGAGGAAAGAUGGCGGCCACUUUAGAAUUGCCGCCCAGCUUGGCUGAGAGCUAGUUGUUUGUGCUAAAUAUAAACCAGGAAGGUAAGAUGAAUAGGGGGACAGGCAGAGGAAAUGAUAUGCAUUGCAUGAGUUAAGUGUUUUGAAUGAGCUGAUUUGGGUCAUGUUAGGAGUUUUGCAUGAAUUGUGGUAUCAUGAGGUGGAAAAACAGGAUCAUCCUGUGUCACAUUACAAAAGGCUAAUCGAAAAUGAGAGGGAGAGGACCUAGGCGCAGGGUUCAAAAUGGCGAUUUUGACUUUGCAGCAUUGCUUAGCAUGGCUCUCUGCUUUGUUAGAGUGUUCAAAAUGGCGGAUCCAUUUUGCCGCAGUGUUCCAGUGGCGGGAAGCCACAUCAUGGGUGUCUUUGUUCUAGUGUGCAGCAUGGCGGUGGAAAUAUUCUGUUACAUAGUAAAAGAUGGCGGCUUAAGUACUUGCCGCAGUCUAAAACAUGGCGGGCCUUUGUCUUUGCCGUGUGCAUUUCCUGACAGGUUUUGCUGCAGGGACAAUAUGGCUGACCUUGUCAUGUGGAUAUCAUGGCAGUUUGUCACGUGGAUGUCAUGGCAGGGGUGAGCGACCGUUACAUUCUUGGCGGGCUUUGCACCAGGAGGGCCUGCCGCAUUGUUAAAGAUGGCGGGCUUUGCCGCGAAAAAGUGAAAGGAGGGAUUGGCAAUGUUGGAUUGCCGCAUGACCCACCCAAUCAGAAAGGAUGGUGGAAUUGGUCGCAGCCAGUUAGUGGAGGAUGGAAUUAGACCGAGUUAGAAUAGCACCUCGCUACCGUCUCUAUUCAGCCAGUCAGGACGGGCCACGUUUGUACUACUCCCAGUGGGUGGUACCAAGGUCUUUCCAAGGACAUUUGGCCUUUCCACCUCCCUCCCCUUUCACUUGCUCCCUCCCCUCCGGCAUUGCCACUUGCAGUGCAGGAUAUUAGGCUGUGCGGGCUGAACUUCACGCCAUUCCUCUGCAUUGGUGCCGUGGCCUAAGGCUAGUGUACUACCCGCCCCCGCCAACCCCGCCUCUGCUCUUCUGCACUUUGGCCAGGGGCAGUGCUCCAUGCCUGCCAAGUGUGAAAAUGGCGGUGAGUCGUGGCAAGGACCAGAAUGGAUCGCAGAUGAUCGUUGGCCGACAGGUGGCAGAAGAGGAAUCCCUGCCUUCCUCAAGAGGAACACCUACCCCAUGGCUAAUGCUGGGGUCGGAUUUUGAUUUCUAUUUGUUUCUUGGAUGUUAGUCAUACAUAGUUUGAUUAUGUGGUUUGCUAGUGUUCGAUUUAAGCCUUAAGGGACUACUAUGGAAAUGUAUUUAGGGGCUUUAUUUGUAGACUUCAUUUCAGUUACAUUUAAUUGGUUUUCAUGUUUGGGUUCCUUUAAAAUUCCUUAAAGUUUUCAGUUUCUUUUUCUACAAAUUGCUUAAACUUUUUUUGUCUUUAGAUGUUCAAAGUAAAAUAAUAAGCCAUUUUAAAGUUUUUACUAUUUUUUACUUUGGGGCUGACUUAAUAAACUACUUCCCUUUGGAUUUUUGAAGAGUCUUAUAGCACAGAAGUAGUUAAUUAAAAAUUUAACUUUAUGACUGAAUGUAAAAAGGAAUAUUUGAAGGUCCACUCCGGUCCAGGCCUUGCUUUGUUCUCACCCUUAAUGCUGCACUAAUUGACUAAUGACCCACCUAUCUGCAGGAAACUUGAAUUGCUGUGGACUUGCUUCUUCUAUUCGAACUUAUUAUAUUGGAGUAUUAUUGCUCAUAAUUUCAGUUUUCUGUGGUUCCUUGACUCCACAGCCUCUAGCUCCACCCCAGCCCUUUUCCCAGCAACCCCCUUAAUGGCCCCAGCCCCGGCCCUAGCCCCAGCUCUGGCCCCAGUCCCGGCCCCAGCCCCGGCCCCGGCCCCAGCCCCGGCCCCGGCCCCAGCCCCAGCCCCAGCCCCAGCCCCAGCCCCAGCCCCAGGCCCUGCCCCAGCCCCUGCCCCGGCCCCUGCCCCAGCCCCUGCCGCAACCCCAGCCCCAGCCCCAGCCCCAGCCCAGCCUCAGUCCUGUUUCUCCCUAAAGCCCGUGAAAUUUGCAUUGAUUCAGUGCUAAAAAUAAGUUGUCCACGUUGCUCACCCAGUAGACUGGGAUACCCUGUCUGCCUCUAGCAUUGCAGAUAUUGAAUGCUGACUACCUGAGUCACCAUUUUCAAUUAAUGUACAGAAUCCCUUUUGUCCAUUGUCCCAUGUUAGAACAAAGAAUCCACACACCCUUUGCAUUAAUGUUAGGAAAUGUUAAUUAAUUGAGAGCUUUCAUAAGUCUAGUUACUCAAUCUUCUCAAUCCCCUGUCCUUAAGGAAGGAGAAACCAUUCCUCUGUCAUUGAUGCAGUAGUCACAAUCCCAGUUUUCUGGACAGUGCAUAUAUACUGUGCUGACCACCUAAACUCUUUGCACUGAGUGAAAUUCUAAUUGUUCAUAAUCCUGCCCAUUGGAUUAGAUCCCAGUCAAAAACCCUUUUGCAUUCAGCAGGGGGCACAGAAAACCCAGAUUUUUUGUUCCACAGUUAAUGUGCUCAGUCCCAAUUGUCAUAGCCUUGUCCAUUAAACAAAGGCAUCCUACCAAUUUUGCUCUGCUUUUCGGGAGUCCUGCUGUUCUUGGACAAUUAAAGUACCAAACUGUACAUCGUCUUCCCCAUUAAUCAAUGACCCUCCAUCCCAUUCGCAUUGCUAUUAGGCACUGCUGACUACCUGAGACCAUCUUCCUUGAAUUAUUAAUGAGAAGAAUCCCAAUUGUUCAUUACACAAGUCCUCUGCAACUUUUUUGCACUACAGCAGAAGUGCUCAUCCUCAAAGUCCUUUACUUUGGUAUAUUAAUGGGUACAAUUACUGUUAGUCAUGGUCCUGCUUAACAGGUAAGACCCGCCCAUGCUCUUCAUUGCUCCUAGGCAGUUCAGACUACCUAUCACUUUGCAUUAAUAUGUAAAAUCCUCAUUUCCCAUGGUCCCAUCCAUUAGUCUAGGAUAUCCCUUACCUCUGUGCCAUUUCUUCUGAGGAGUUCUGAUUACCCAAAGUCCCUUCUCUUAUUAAACAAUUGAUGUGCAUAAUUACAUAUAUCUAUGGUCCCAUGCAAUAAAAAAUGAAAUCCCACACUCGGUGGAAUACUGCUAGGUCAUGCAGAUUAUUCAAGAACUCAGCUUUUGGACAGUUAAUUUGCACAGUUGCAGUUGUCCAGAGUCCUGUCCAUUUUAAUGGGCCACUGUAUCCCAUUUGCAUGCUAUAUGGGUCAGACUCUCAAGGAACCUUCUCUUGAAUUGAUAAUGUUCAUAGUUGCAUUUGUCAAUGUCCUGUGAAUUAGUCACACCCACCCACUUUGUAUUCUGGCAGAGGACCCUUACUACUUAAGAACUCUGCACUAGGACAUUUUAUGUGCACAAACCUAAUUGAUUACGCCUGAGCCUUUUGUAUCAGGAACCCUGCACCAUCUUUACUUCUGAAAGGUGCUAAUUAUCUAAGGCCAUUUCCUGACACUGUUCAUGUGCAAAAUUGCAGUCCCAAUGACUCCUUUCUUUAAACUAGAAUCCCAUCCCCAACUAACUGCCUUUGCAUUACAGCAGAGGAUACUUCCGGCAGUUAAUGGGCUUGAUUGCAGCUACAGACCCCUCUGUUAGUCUAGCACCCAUUCCCCUCCUAGAUGAUUUGCAUUACUACAGGCAGUACAAGGGACUGAUAAUGGACUUAGACAGCUACAGUCCCUUAUGUUAACCUAGGAACCCAUCCCCACCUAACUCCCUUUGAGUGAGGAGGGUACUGCGGAGGGUACUUGGAACUGUUAAUGAGCUUUAUUGCAGCUACAGUUCCUUUUGUCACUCUAGAAUCCAUUCCCUUCCUACUCGAAUUGCAUUACCACAAAGGGCACAAGGGACUGUUAAUGUGCUUAAGUGGAGCUACAGUCCCUUAUGUUAACCUAGGAACCCAUCCCCCCCAACUCCUUUUGCAUUAAUGCAGAGCCUACAUGGACUUGUUAAUGGGCUUAAUUGUACUGCUGUCCCUUCUGUUAGUCUAGAAUCCCAUCCCUCCUACUCAAUUUGUGUUACCCCAGAAUGUAUGAGAGGCUGUUACUGUGCUUAAAUGCAUCUAUAGUCUCUUACGUUUACCUAUGAUCCCAUUCCUGUCUAAAUCUCUUUGCAUGACUGCAGAGGGUACUUGGGACUGUUAAUAGGCUCAAUUAGAGCUACAGUCCCUUCUGUUACAGGGUCCCAUGCCCUCCUACUCUAUUUGUAUUACCAAAAGGGGGACAACGGACUGUUAAUGGGCUUUAUUGCAGAUACAGUCCCUUCUGUAAAUCUAGAAUCAGUUUCCUUCUUGUUGGAUUUGCAUUACCACAGAGGGUACAAGGGACUGUUAAUGUCCUUAAAUGCAGCUGUAGUCCCUUAUGUUAACCUAGGAUCCCAUCCCCAACUAUCUCCCUUUUCAUUACUGCAGAGCCUACAGAGAACUUGCUAAUGGGCUUAAUUGUACUACUGUCCCUUAUCUUAGCCUACGAUCCCAUCCCCUCCUAAUUCCCUUUAGAUUACCAAAGAGGACACAAGGGACUGUUAAUGUGCUUUUAAAUGCAUGUACAAUCCCCCUCCCCCCGUUUUUUAACCUAGGAUUCCAUUCCCACCUCACUCUCUUUUCAUGACUGCAGAGGGUACUUGGGACUGUUAAUGGGUUUUAUUGCAGCUACAGUCCCUUCUGUUAGGCUAGAUUCCCAUUCACUCCUACACGAUUUACAUUAACACAGAAGGCACAAAGGACUGCUAAUGUGCUUAAAUAGAGCUACAGUCCUUUAUGUUAAUCUAGGAUCCCAUUGCCACCUAACUCCCUUUUCAUUACUGCAGAGCCUACAUGGACUUGUUAAUGGGCUUAAUGGCACUGCUGUCCCUUCUGUUAAUCUAGGAGUCCAUCCCACCUACUCAAUUUGCAUUAUCCCAGAAUGUACAAGAGACUGUUACUGUGCUUAAAUGCAUCUACAGUCUCUUACGUUUACCUAUGACCCCAUUCCCACCUAACUCCCUUGCACUACCACAGAGGGUACAAUGGACUGUUACUGUGCUUAAAAGCAGCUACAGUCCCUUAUGUUUAUCUAGGACCCUAUUCCCGCCUGACUCCCUUUUAAUGACUGCAGAGGGUACUUGGGACUGUUAAUGGGCUUUACUGCAGCUACAGUCCCUUCUGUAAAUCUAGAAUCAGUUUCCUUCUUACUGGAUUUGCAUUACCACAUAGGGUAACUGGGACUGUUAAUGUGCUUAAAUGGAGCUAUAGUCCCUUAUGUUAACCUAGGAUCCCAUUCCCACCUAACUUCCUUUUCAUUAAUGCAGAGCCUAUAUGGGACUUGUUAACGGGCUUAAUUGCACUGCUGUCCCUCCUAUUAGUCUAGGAGCCCAUCCCUCUUACUUGAUUUGCAUUACCCCAGAGUGUAGAGACUGUUAACAUCCUUAAAUGCAUCUACAGUCUCUCAUGUUUACCUAUGAUCCCAUUCCCAUUUAAACCUCUUUGAAUGACUGCAGAGGGUACUUGGGACUGUUAAUGGGUUUUAUUGCAGCUACAGUCCCUUCUGUUAGUCUAGAUUCCCAUUCACUCCUACACGAUUUACAUUAACGCAGAAGGCACAAAGGACUGCUAAUGUGCUUAGAGCUACAGUCCUUUAUGUUAAUCUAGGAUCCCAUUGCCACCUAACUCCCUUUUCAUUACUGCAGAGCCUACAUGGACUUGUUAAUGGGCUUAAUGGCACUGCUGUCCCUUCUGUUAAUCUAGGAGUCCAUCCCACCUACUCAAUUUGCAUUAUCCCAGAGUGUACAAGAGACUGUUACUGUGCUUAAAUGCAUCUACAGUCUCUCAUGUUUACCUAUGACCCCAUUCCCACCUAACUCCCUUGCACUACCACAGAGGGUACAAGGGACUGUUACUAUGCUUAAAAGCAGCUACAGUCCCUUAUGUUUAUCUAGGACCCUAUUCCCGCCUGACUCCCUUUUAAUGACUGCAGAGGGUCCUUGGGACUGUUAAUAGGCUUUACUGCAGCUACAGUCCCUCUGUUAAUCUAGAAUCAGUUUCCUUCUUACUGGAUUUGCAUUACCACAAAGGGCACAAGGGACUGUUAAUGUGCUUAAAUGGAGCUAUAGUCCCUUAUGUUAACCUAGGAUCCCAUUCCCACCUAACUUCCUUUUCAUUAAUGCAGAGCCUAUAUGGGACUUGUUAAUGGGCUUAAUUGCACUGCUGUCCCUCCUAUUAGUCUAGGAGCCCAUCCCUCUUAACUUGAUUUGCAUUACCCCAGAGUGUAGAGACUGUUAACAUCCUUAAAUGCAUCUACAGUCUCUCAUGUUUACCUAUGAUCCCAUUCCCAUUUAAACCUGUUUGAAUGACUGCAGAGGGUACUUGGGGGAGUUAAUGGGCUCAAUUAGAGCCAUAAUCCCUUCUGUUAGUCUAGAUUCCCAUGCCCUCCUACUCCAUUUGCAUUACCAAAGGGGAUACAAGGGAAUGUUAAUGUGCUUAAAUGCAAUUACCUAGGAUCCCCUCUCCACCUAACUCCCUUUUCGUGAUUGCAGAGAGUACUUGGGACUGUUAACGGGCUUUGUUGCAGGCACAGUCCCUUCUGGUAUCUAGAAUCCGUUCCAUCCUACUCCAUUUGCAUUAACACAGAGAGUACAGGGACUGCUAAUGUGCUUAAAUAGAGCUACAGUCCUUUAUGUUACUCUAGGAUCCCAUUGCCACCUAACUCCCUUUUCAUUACUGCAGAGCCUACAUGGACUUGUUAAUGGGCUUUAUUACACUGCUGUCCCUUCUGUUCGUCUAGAAUCCCAUCCCUGUACUCAGUUUGCAUUACCCCAGAGUACACGAGAGACUGUUACUGUGGUUAAAUGCAACUACAGUCUCUUAUGUUUACCUAUGACCCCAUUCCCACCUAACUCCCUUGCACUACCACAGAGGGUACAAGGGACUGUUACUGUGCUUAAAAGCAGCUACAGUCCCUUAUGUUUAUCUAGGACCCUAUUCCCACUUAACUCCCUUUUAAUGACUGCAGAGGGUACUUGGGACUGUUAAUGGGCUUAAAUGCAGCUAUAGUCCCCUGUCUUAACCUAGGAUCCCAUCCCUAAUUAUCUCCCUUCCAUUACUGCAGAGCCUACAUAGGACUUGUUAAUGGCCUUAGUUGCACUACUGUCCCUUCCGUUAGUCUAGGAUCCCAUCUCUACCUAAUUCCUUUUAGGUUACCAAAGAGGAUACAAGGGACUGUUAAUAUGCUUAAAUGUAGAAACAAUCGCUUUUUUAAGGUAGGAUCCUAUUUUCACCUAACUCCCUUUGCAUUACCACAGAGGGUACAAGGGACUGUUACUGUGCUUAAAAGCAGCUACAGUCACUUAUAUUAACCUAGGAUCCCAUCCCCAACUAUCUCCCUCUUCAUUACUGCAGAGCCUACAUAGAACUUGCUAAUGGGCUUAAUUGUACUGCUGUCCCUUAUCUUAGCCUAGGAUCCCAUUAGACCUAAUUACCUCCUAAUUCCCUUUAGAUUACCAGAGAGGACAGAAGGGACUGUUAAUGUGCUUUUAAAUGCAAGUGCAAUCUCCCCGCCCCCCGCCCUUUUAACCUAGGAUUCCAUUCCCACCUCACUCUCUUUUCAUGACUGCAGAGGGUACUUGGGAUUGUUAUUGGGCUUUAUUGCAGCUACAGUCCCUUCUGUUACCCUAGAUUCCCAUCCACUCCUACAUGAUUUGCGUUACCACAGGCUCUACAAGGGACUGUUAAUGGGCUUAAAAACAGCUACAGCUCCUUAUGUUAACCUAGGAUCCCAUCCCCACCUAACCUCUCUUUUCACAACUGCAGAGGGUACUUGGGACUGUUAAUGGACUCAAUUAGAGCUAUAGCCCCUUCUGUUAGUCCAGAUUCCCAUGCCCUCCUACUCAAUCUGCAUUACCAAAGGGAGUACAAUGGAUUGUUUAUGUGCUUAAAUGGAGCUACAGUCCCUUUUGUAACCUAAGAUUCCAUUUCCACCUAACUCCCUUUCCUGACUGCAGAGGGUACUUGGGACUGUUAUUACCGAGCUUACUGUAGCUGCGUUCCCUUCUGUUAGUGUACAUUCCCAUCCUCUCUUACACGGUUUGCAUUACCACAAACUGUAUAACUAUUAAUGUGCUUAAAUGCAACUACAGUCCCUUAUGUUAACCUAGGAUCCCAUUCCCACCUAACUCCCUUUUCAUUAAUGCAGAGCCUACAUGGGACUUGUUAAUGGGCUUAAUUGCACUGCCCUCCCUUCUAUUAGUCUAGAUUCCCAGGCUGUCCUCGAUUUGCAUUACCAAAGGGGGUAUAAUGGACUGUUAAUGUGCUUAAAUGCAGCUACAGUCCCUUUUUUUUUUUUUAACCUAGGAACCCAUUCCUACCUAACUCCCUUUUUAUGACUGCAGAGGGUACUUGGGACUGUUAACGGGCUUAAUCACAGCUACAGUCCCUUCUCUUAGUCUAGAUUCCCAUCCCCUCCUACAGAUUUACAUUACCACAGAGGAUACAAGGGACUGUUAAUGUGCUUAAAUGCAGGUAUAGUCCCCUUUAUUGUUUCACCUAGGAUCCCAUUCCCAACUAACCCCCUUUGCAUUACCACUGACUGUACAAGGGACUGUUAACAUGCUUAAAUGCAAUUAUAGUCCCUUAUGGUAAUCUUGGAUACCACCCCCAACUAACUCACUUUGUAUGACUGCAGAGAAUACUUGGGACUUUAAAUGCGAUUGAUUGCAGCUACAGUCCUUUCUGUUAGUCUAGGAUCUGUUCCCUUCCUUCUUGAUUUGCAUUACCAGAGAGGGUAGAAGGGAUGGUUAAUAUACUUAAAUGGAUCUACAGUCCCUUUUGAUAACCAGGAUCCCAUUUCCACCUAACUCCUUUUGCACUACCACAGAGGCUACAAAGUACUGUUGAGUGCUUAAAUGCAGCUACAGUCCCUUAUGUUAACCUAGGAUCUUGUUCCCACCUAACUCCCUUUGCAUGACUGCAGAGGGUAUUUGGGACUAUUAAUGGGCUUUACUGAAGCCACAGUCCCUUAGUCUAGGAUCCCAUCCCCUCCUACAGGAUUUACAUUACCACGGAGGGUACAAGGGACUGUUAUGGUGCUUAAAUGCAGGUAGAGUUCAAGGAUCCCAUUUCCACCUGCCUCCAUUUGCAUUACCAAAGAGGCUACCAGGGACUGCUAAUGUGUUUAAAUGCAGGUACAGUGCCUUGAGUUAACCCCGAAAUCCCACCUAACUCCCUUUUCAUGACUGCAGAUGGUAAUUGGGACUGUUAACAAGCUUUAAUGCAGCUACGGUUUCCCUCUUAGUCUAGAAUCCCAUUCCCUCCUACUUGAUUUACAUUACCACAGAGUGUACAAGGGAUUUUUAAUGUGCUUAAAUGGCACUACAGUCCCUUAUGUUACCUAUGAUCCCAUUCCCACCUAAUUCCCUUUGCAUGACUGCAGAGCGUACUUGGGACUGUUAAUGCAUUUACCUGCCUAUACAGUCUCAUCUGUCCGUCUAGAUUCCCAUGCCCUCCUACUAAAUUUGCAUUAUAAAAGAGGGUACAAAGGACUGUUAAUGUGCUUAAAUGCAGUUACAGUCCCUUUGUAAGGUGGGAUCCCAUUCCCACGUAACUCCCUUUGCAUCAUCCCAGAGGCUACAAGGGACUUUCAAUGUGCUUAAAUGCAGGUACAGUUUCUUAUGUUAACCUUGAACUAUAUUCCCACCUAACUCCCUUUACAUCACUGCAAAGGGUACUGGGGACUCUUAAUGGGCUUCAUUGAAGCUGCUGUCCCUUCUGUUGGUCUAGAUUCCCUUUCCCUCCUUGAUUUGCAUUACCACAGUGUACAAUGGACUGUUACUGUGCUUGAAUGCAGGUACAGUCCUUUUUUUUUUAAACCUAGGAUCCCAUUCCCACCUAACUCCCUUUGCAUUUCUGCAGAGGGCACUUGGGACUAUUUUAAUUGGACUCCUGUCCCUUCUGUUAGUCUGGGAUCCCAUCCCCUCCUACUUGAUUUGCGUUUCCACAGAGGCUACAAGGGACUGUUAAUGUGCUUAUUAAAUGCAGGUACAAUCCCUUAUGUUAACCUCGGAUCCCAUUCCCACCUAUCUCCUUUUGCAUGACUGCAGAGGUAUUUGAGACCUUUAAAGUGGUUAGUGGCAGCUGUAGUCCCAUCUGUUAAGUGUACUUUAUCAAGCACUCCAAUUCCCUCACGUAACUUGGGAACAUAUUUCGGACUGUCACUGUGCUCGUUUUUGGCUGUGGUCCCUUUGUAAUUCUAGGAUCUCAUCCCUUUCUACUCAUUUGUAUUACUUGUUGGUAUUGGGACAGAAAGGUGCUUAAAUGCAGCUGUAAUCUGUUUUGUUAAUCUAGGAUUCCAUGCCCUCUAACUCCCUUAACAUUACCUAGGAGUGUAUUUGGGACUGUUGAAGUGCUUAAUUGCAUCUGUGGUCCCUUCUGUUAGUCUCACUUCCCAUGCCCUCCUACUCCCUUUGCAUUACAGCAGAGGGCACUUGGGACUAUUAAAGUGUUUAAUUGCAGCUGUGGUCCCUUCUCAGUCUGGGGUCCAUCCCCUCCAGCUUUGUUUGCAUUACCACAGAAGGUACUUGGAUCUGUGAAUGUGUUUAAAUGCAGAUAUGGUCCCUUUUGUUAGUUUUGGAUCCCAUGACCCCCUUUACAUUACCUGGGAGGGCAUUUGGGACUGUCAUGGUAAUUGCACCUGUGUUCCCUUCUGUUGGUCUAGAAUCCCGUUACCUCCUACUCCCUUUGCAUUACAUGGGAGCGUUUUUGGGACUCUUAAGAUGCUUAACUGCAACUAUGGUCCUUUCUGUCAGUCUAGUUUCCAGUCCCUUUCUACUCCAGUACCCUUACCACAGAGGGUACUUGGGACUGUUGUGGUGCAUCCCAUCCUCUCACACCCUGUCAGCAUUACAGCAUAGGGUCCUGAACACCAAGGCCCCUUCUUUUCACUGUUAAUGCACAAUUGCAUUUGUCCUUCUUCCUCUGCAGUAUAUAAAGACCUCACUAACUUCCCUUGUAUUCAGUGGUGGAUGCCCUUUACUCAAGACCUUUGUACUAGAAUAAAGUGAACCAUGGUAAUUGACCACAAAUAUAUCUUUCACUUAAGUCCCUUGUACUCUCUUUGUUUUAUAAGAAGAUGUAUUAAUUACCUCCGUUACUUUUUCUGGGAGUAUUUACAUGCAAAAUUCCAGUGUUCAAGGCCCCUGUCUUUAAUAUCCCUCCCUUUCUGUAUUAUAUCAGGGGAUGUUAGUGACUCAGAGUCCUUCUCUUGGGACUCAUUGUGCAUGUGCCCUCGUGACAAGCUAAUAUCUUGAGUUCUUAGUAUUAUAGGAGGGACUACUGACUAGUUUCUCUUUUGGACAGUUAAUGUGCAAAAUUACACUAGGAUCCCAUCACAUUUCACCUCCUUUGCAUCAGGGGUCCUGAUCAACUGUGGCUGCUUUUCCUCUAGAGUUUAAACGUGCAUAAUUUCAGUAACCCAUGCUCCCUUAUGUUAGAUUAGGAUCCCAUUUCCUUGCCCCAUUUACGUUACUGCGGGGGCUUCUGACUAGCCAAGAUAAGUUUUCUUGGACUGUUAAUGUGUAUACUUACAUUUGCUCCUGUACCUGUACACCAGGUAAGGACCCUCCCCAUUCUAUUUAUAUUCCAACAGGAGGUGCCUACUACUCAAGAUCUUACACACUACUGCAGUUAAUGUGCACAAUCUUAGUUGUCUUGUAUACAUUCUCAGUUGUCCACAACUGUGCUUUUUAGAUCAGGACUCCACUUAUUGAAGCACAGGUUACUUACUACCUUAAAGCCCUUGUUUUGGGACUGUGACUAUGUGUAGUUAAAAUUGUCCAUGGUCCUUUGAGUUAACUUGUGUCCCUGACUCUUUUCACACUCCCUUUGCUUUACUGCAUGGGGUACUGUCCACUUAAGGCCCCUUUCUCAAAUACGUGUAAUGACAAUUACAUUAGGAUCCUUCCCCUUCAAACCCCUUAGAAGUACCACAAAGAUUUUGACCCCUAAGUCCCAUUUCUUGUCCUGUUAUUGUAUUUGUCUGGGUUCCUGUGCACUAGACAAGGACACCUCUCCAUUCCCUGUCCUUCCAGCAGGAAGUGCCCCCUCCACAGGACUGUUAAAUUUGGACAGUCAAGGUGCACAAUUGUAACUGACCACAACCAGUCACCUUGGACAUUAAUGUGCAUAACUGCACAUGGCUCAUCCCAUAUGGAUAAGAUCCUAUCCUCUCAGACCCCUUUUGUAGCACAGCAGGGGUAAUGAUCACUAAGGCCUCUUUUUAUGGCUUGUUAUUGUGCAUAAUUGCAUUUGUGCAUGUUCCUGUACAGUUGAUGGGGGCACCUAUCUCCCCACUCCCUUUGUCUUUUAGCAGGGAGUGCCUGCUACUUUAAGAUCCUUAUAUUUGUACAAGGUAUACGAUUUUAAUUGACCACACCAUGUCCCUUCGACAUUAAUGUACAUAACUGCAACUUAGUUCAUCUUAUCCUGUUGCCCUCCAUUUGCAGUAUAUCAGGGUUGCUGACCCAUAUAUCCCCAUUCCUUGGCCUGUUAAUGUGCAUAAUUGCAUUUGGUUCUUGGGCAGUAGACAAGGAUCCCCUCCUCCCCCACAUUUCCUAUGCCUUCCAGUAGGUUGUGCCCACCACCAAGACCUUUCUAUUUGGACAGUUAAUGUGCAGAAUUGCAGUUUUUCACAACCCUGUUACUUCUAGGACUAUUUUAUCUCCUUUGUAAUACUGCAGGGGAUACUGUUUUCCCCCAAGGUCCCUUCUAGUGGACCGUUAAUAUACAUAAUUGAAAUUGUUGUCUUUAUCACUAGACUAAUGUCAUAUCCCCUCAGCUAACUAUCAUGACCUCAGCUCUUGGACAAUUAAUAUGCACCAAUAACAUAUCAAAAGUACGAUCAUUAGAUAGGACCCCUGUACCCUCACUGUAUACAUCAGAGGUACUGACUAAGGCCCCUUUUUUGGACUGAUAAUGUGAAUAUUUGCAAUUAUCUAUUCUCUCUUCUUUUUAGAGUCGGAUAGCAUCCCUUUGCACCCCCUUUGCAUUACUGCAGGGGCUGCUAAUGACACAAAACUUCUACUGGGACUGCUGAUGAGCACAAUGGCAUUUAGCAAUGGGUUUUUCCUCCCUGGCUUUGUUAGGCAAGCAUUCCCAGCUCCAGCUUCCCAUGGCAUAAUAAAGUAUAAACACUGCAGUAUGCUGUGAACUUGUCCAUCAAACAACGACCCAUACUCCCACUCCUUUUGCAUUGGCUCCAGUGUAUCAAAUUCCAAGUAGUCAUAGUCUUGCCAUUAUCUUCCCUCUCCAGACCACUUGCCUGCCCUUGGACCCUUCUUAUGGAAUAUUAAUGCUCACAAUUUCAGGUGUCCAUGUAUCCAGAUAAGAUUGUGCUCUCUUGCCCCUCCUGCUCCUGCAUAGUUGAUGGGAAAUGUUGACUGAGCAAAAUGCUUUUCUCUUGGACUUAAAACGUUAACAAUCUCAGAUGUCAUUGUUUUGCCCAUUUUGAAUUUCUGUAAUACCUUGGUUGCACUUUCUUUGGUCCGGCCCGUUAGACAUGGACCCUUCCACUUCCUUCUUUGCAUUACUUCUGAGUAGUGCUGACCUCCCACAACCCCUUCGGUGUUAUUAACACAGUAUUAAUUGUCCCAUUUUUUAGCCCAUCAGCCCAAGAUCUCCCUACCACUUUGAUGUUGUGUUUGUGCAGUAUUGACUACCAAAAGCAAGCCUGAACUAGGUGGCUGGGCCUUCACUCCUUUUCCUGCAUUUGUCAAUGAUCCCAGUUCCAAUUCUUUUCACAUUCUGGGGACAGGAACCAUUCCUACCCCCCUCUUACUGCUUUACUAGGCAAAAUGCCCAAGGCAAGUCAGACCCAAGGGAACUGGAUUGCUAUCCUUUAUUUUGGGUUUUCAUUAUACAUAAGUAUCAAUUGAAAAUUGUCUCCCCAGGAAGGAAGUUUAGCACUAUCUGUGCAUUCUUCCUUUCAAAGCAGAUUGCCUGGCUAAGACUCUCUCCUCUCUUCUUGUAUAUUGCCAUUGUAUAGUGUCAACUGCCAAGAUACAACCAAAAAGUUGCUGUUAAGUUUUUAUGUUGUAAGGAAGAUUGCAAGUUAGAAUUGAUAACCUGGUCAUUGAAAUUUUGAAGUCUAAAAACCUAUUUAUACCAUGUACCUGAUGACCAGUGUCUCUCAUUUUACUAAGGGUGGUGGGUCUGUGGAUAGACCACUGUGACUUUGAUAUUUUAGUAUGAUCAAAGGAGUUCUAGAGUGGAACUCUUAAGACCAGUAUCUUUGGGCUCUACCACCAUUUUCAAACCAUUCCUUGUUUGGGCUUUAACAAUUUUCACUUUUAGAAAAACUACCUAAACCUCCUAAUCCUUAAAUUUUUUCAUCUGGAGCUCCAACCAGCCCCUACUUAUUUCAAGAAGAUUACUGUAAAAGGAUAAAAAUGAGAGAACAUAUGCUGAGGUGCUUUUGAAAACCAUAGAUCAAUUUAUUUGAUUAAUCUAUUACAUAAAAUGCCCCCUGUUUAAUUCUGCUAAUUUAAAGUAGCCUAAAGCACCACACUGAAGUGAGGACUUAGAAAUGAUGGAACCAGUUUCCCCAUUUUAUAUGAAAAGAAAAAUAAGCCAAGGUCUAAUCAUUCUUUCGGAUAUAAAUUUCAACAGUGAGGUAGCUGCCUGGUAAAAAUGAAUAGUGUUCCAGCUCUAGUGUACAGGGUGUUUGGUGGCAGAGAAGUAUUUAAUAUGGAACUGCUGGAGCAAAUAACUAGUUAUCACUACAGCAGUUCUUUGUAAUCACUGAGAAAGGAUACUCUUCUCUGAGAAGGAUGUCAAAAGAUUCGCCCAGCUCAGGGUGCUGUUUGCACUACUAGCUCCUUGGACAGCUGUAAGAAGUCUCUGGCUCUUUAGAAUACUGGAUGAAUUCUGAGCUGGUACCCCCACUCAAGAGGAAGGAUGGAUCGAUUUUAGGUGGAUUGAAGCCUGCCCUAGACAGCAUCCAAAGUCCUUCUGUGAUACUGCCAGUGCUUGCCAUUACAGGACCUUAAGGAGACAACAGGCUAGAGAGGAGAGACAGGAGACACCUAUAUCUAAUGCUUCAGGACAUUCUGAGCAUGUGAGACCUGAGGAACUGCAAGCAGCUUUAAGAAGCUCUACAUUCAACAAGUCUUUCCUUUUAAGAAUCUGGAUAAGCUCCAACCAAUCUAAGAGGAUGGCUUGCCGGCUCCCUGGAGAAAAAGAUCUUCCUCAGAAGAAUAGGCUUGUUGCUUUACAGUGUUAAUGACCCAUUCCCUUUGACGAUCCCUAGGUGGAGAUGGGGCAUGAGGAUCCUCCAAGGGAAAAACUCACUAUCACUGAGCAACAACCCUAGGCCAGGAGGUUCUACCAAGAUUCUUUCCUGGGCCCAGUUAGGAGGAUGAAAUCUCAAGACAACCACCACACAUCCAGAGGAGAACAUGGACAACAACUGCCACAUCUGUGACAUUGAUCAUGGGCAGAUCAUCAUUCUGGACCCUCUGGUCUCCAAAGUCUCCCUUGAGGCCCUGUUGGAGAACUUUGCCAAUCAUUUACGUACUUCAGGAUGCCUUGGGAUAGCUGUUGGACAAAAGAAAAAACAAGCUGUUUGAGAAGAUAAAACAGAGCUGUGUCUUUUUAUGCUGUGCCUGCUAAUUGACAGAAACUUCACAGCUAUGAGUGGGAAUGUGACUAGAAGUGGCACAAAGUUAUCUAUCGUCAGGCUGGAUCUAAAGAACUAGCACCCUGCGUAUUCUAGCUCCUGAUUGUUCCCUUCAUAUCUGUCCAAUCAUUAUCUUUCCCAGAAGCAGUGCAAAGAGCAAGACAUUUGAACACACCAAAGGAAGAUCAACAUGCCUGGCACUCUAGAAUUUUAGAAUAGCAGAAUGAAUGUGUCUUUGUUUGCUUAUCUAUUUCUUCCUUGAAUGUCUUUGGUCUUUCUCCUCUAACUAAAGUGUGUCUUACCCAUUUCCAUGAUUCUCUUACUAGUUUCUUCUCUGUAUAUCUUUGUCUCAUUUUCUUUCUUGUACCCAAGAGUGGUCUGUGUCUUGUCUUAGAUGUCUCUCUCUAGUGUUUUCAUUUUGUUACUGAUUCUCCUUGCUCUCCUAGAUCUGGCUCUUCUUUCACUGUUUGUCUCUUUGCGUCUCUUGAGUCACAUGCUGUGUGCCUUUUGCUCACUUCUUGCUAUGCCUACCUCUCUUCUUUUUCUCUUUGUGAACUGUUUGUCACCCCCUCCCCUUGAUGGUUUGACAUUUCACCUUUUCUGAUACUGGCCACCCUUCUGCUGUUUCUACUCUUUAUCUUGCAUUGCUUUUUUCUACAUAUUCUUUCUGCCUCUCUUGGGCCAUUUUCUCUUUUCUUCCUGCUUUGUGUGCCCCAGUGUCUCUUUGUUCUUUGUGAUUUUCCAUGUCAGCAUUCAUCUCUGUGUUCUCUUAUUUCUUCUCUGCUUUUGCCUUUCUACUUACCUUUGAGUAUUUCAGUCUCUUCUUGAGUCUAUGUCUCCCCCACUUUGAUUUCAUGCAGUCCUCUCUCCUUGCAUACUUUUUGUGCAUGUGUGUGUGCAUGCUUUUGUGUGUGUGUGUGUUUGUAACAAAGGGGUCUCCUAACCCCUUCCUAAUAGGUGCAGAGUGUCAGCUAUCAAAAUAUAAGCAUUGAAGAGCUGUUCCUUAUGCCAGGCCGCCUGUGAGAUGAUCCAAGACCAAUAAAAGGCCCAAAGGUCUAGACUGGAGUUGGACGGAAGACUCAAGUCUCAGUGAGACAGAAGGCCAAAGACCCAGGAUGGGAUGAAAAGCCUUCGCUUGAAGACCUAUGACCCAAAAAUGGAAGGGCCCAAGCACACAUAAAGACCCAGAACUCAAGCCUGUCUAUAUAGACAGAAGGCCCAAGAGAGACAGAUAUCUCCAGACUAAAUUAGGCGGGAAGCUGGAGGCCCAUGACCCAGAAUCCAGGAAGGAUAGAAGCCCCAAGACCAAAGGAAAUUCCAAGAUGAGAACCCUAAACCGCAGCUCUUUUCUAUUGUUCUCCUCCCUAGUCUUGGACAUUUUCAGUUCUCCCUUCCCUGUUCUCAUAUCUCCAUUUAAACCCACUUCUUUUGAGAUGUCAUUUUUGAUGUUGCUGCUACUUUAAAGAAACACGCCUUUAGAUCAGUAAUAUUAUGCCUGGGCCAGUCUUAAGCCAGUUUUUAUCGCACUUUUAAGCCAUUUAUUAAGGUUUUGGUGUUUUGCAAAGUUCCAUUUCUCUUCACCUCCUCUCCACUUGAGAGGGACACAUAGGUGACUUUAUAUUUCAGUCCCUGCUUUCCUCAGAAGCUCUAGGCUGAUGAGAGAAGUAAAGCAUCAGGUUACUGAGUGGAAAAUAAGUGCCAGGCUAUCUAGAGAAAAUGUGAAGAGAUGCUCCAGGCCAAUGAGAAGAACUAGACAAGAAAUACACAGAUGUGCCAGCUUGCUGAGAAGCACCAGCCAGCAACAUAUUACUUCUUUGAGCUUGGUUUCUGGCAUCCCAAGACUACCACUACUGCUAAAAAAGAAUAAGAGAACAUGUUAUCAUCUGAUUUUUGUGGCAUAAAUGAAGUUGUGAAAAAAUCUUUUUUUUACAAAGGAAAUGGCUUCAUCUUUAUCCUUCUACCUCAAAGGGAAUCUAUGCCAAAAUGCUCCGAUGAAUGGAAGGCACACUUGGACUUGUGAACUGAAGUGAAACGCAGAAUCUCUGAGCCAUGGUUGUUUUGAAGAUCGAAAAGUCUUGUUCAGCAUGGGUGACCAGCAAAAAAGCAAUCUAGAGCUGUCUGUAUGUCACAACUGAGACAAAUUGGGGAGUUUGUUGUUUAAUGCCAAAUAAAAAUGUACUGUUUUGAAAA